UUAAUGUUCAACGUUUGACCAUUCGUCCUCCAAUGUUUGACCAUUCGUCUUAUUUGAAUUUUUUUUAUAAUUAGUAAUUUCAUUGUUAUUAGAUGAUAAAGCAUGGAUAAUAUUUUAUAUGUGACUAUUUUUUUAUAAAUUUUUUAAAUAAGACGAACGGUCAAACGUUGGACACGCAUAUACACGGCCGCACUUAUU
MicroRNA precursor from Oryza sativa Indica Group (long-grained rice), 198 nucleotides. It matches the Rfam family "MIR812 microRNA precursor family". The record is from Rfam. Lineage: Eukaryota; Viridiplantae; Streptophyta; Magnoliopsida; Poales; Poaceae.